GAUAAUUUAAUCGUUACUCGUAUAAUUUCUAGAAUAUGGCUAGAAAGUUUCUACUAAUGACCGUAAAUCAUUUAGCUAUGAGUGAAAGUGUA
This 92-nucleotide non-coding RNA is filed under the name Anaerosalibacter massiliensis. RNAcentral's name for it is "Purine riboswitch". It matches the Rfam family "Purine riboswitch aptamer". Rfam says of the family: Riboswitches are metabolite binding domains within certain messenger RNAs that serve as precision sensors for their corresponding targets. Allosteric rearrangement of mRNA structure is mediated by ligand binding, and this results in modulation of gene expression. The record is from RNAcentral. Lineage: Bacteria; Bacillati; Bacillota; Tissierellia; Tissierellales; Sporanaerobacteraceae.